Molecule: non-coding RNA, 77 nt
Organism: Ascaris suum (pig roundworm)
Lineage: Eukaryota; Metazoa; Nematoda; Chromadorea; Rhabditida; Ascarididae
Source: Rfam
UUGCGACCUUCUCCCUGAGACCUCUGCUGUGACAGUACGCAGGGUCACAGUAAGAGCACCUCAGGGGCCAGGUCUCA